Molecule: long non-coding RNA, 855 nt
Filed under: Mus caroli (Ryukyu mouse)
Lineage: Eukaryota; Metazoa; Chordata; Mammalia; Rodentia; Muridae
Description: mannosidase, alpha, class 2C, member 1, opposite strand (MGP_CAROLIEiJ_G0004198.1)
Source: RNAcentral
AGUUCUGCUGCACCGCCUUCUCAUAGGGAAGCCUCUCGGGCGUCAGGAAGCUGGAGAGUGUCACCGAGCAGCUGUCCCCGAAGAGCCUGGGCAGGAGCAGCUGAUGGGCACAUGCUUGAAGCCGCCCCUGUCCCACCCGUGAGCCAGCGGAUGGCUGCGGAAACCCUCUCCCUUGGCCAAAGCCGUGAGGACUGCCUGGCAGCUCAGCAGCACAGACCAACCUCUACCGUUCGCUCCCCAGCCCCUGGCCUGUCAGUGGCGGGAACUUUGUUUCGCGGCCCGGGUGGCCACGGCCUGGGUUUCCUUCCGGAAGGGAAGGGGAGAGCGCGCGGAUGUGGUCUGCGGACUCAGCAGGCCAAGGGACACACCUGCCGCGAAGGUUACAGUCGGUGAAGUAGAUCGGGGACACGAACUUCUCCACCCGCUCGAAAGUGGUGCGCCAGUGCUUCAAGAAUGGCGCUGCCGCCAUGGCGAUGAGCCUUCCCUCCCCGGAAGAUCCUUGGUGCUGCCGGCUCGUUGCACCGCUUGGAACCAAAGGUUCCGGCAUCCAACCAGCUUACAGACCCGAGCAGCUUUUCUGGGAACACCACGGCUUUUGCAAGAGGCUGGCUCUGGGGAGCCUCCCAGUGAAACCCAGAAGCUGAGCCUUCGCGGUUCUCACCCUCAGCCUUGCUGUCAGACAGCUGGGUAAAUUAUUUUUAAAUACAAUGGAGUCUGGGAGAAAAUAAUACAGGAGGAAUCUAACUAGCCUGCUUUAAUGGAAAUAACCAGGUUUACAUUCCAAAUGCAGGUUACCCAGAAAAAUGAUCAAGUAAGAAAUAUACAAUGCCAAUUAAAAUAACUUGUCAAAACUUG